GGGAUUCCCCUAGUAACUGCGAGUGAAGCGGGAUGAGCUCAAAUUUAAAAUCUGGCAGCUCUGCUGUCCGAGUUGUAAUCUGUAGAAGCAUUUUCUGCAUUGGACUGUGUACAAGUCUCUUGGAAUAGAGCAUCAUAGAGGGUGAGAAUCCCGUCCAUGACACAGACUACCAAUGCUAUGUGAUAUGCUCUCAAAGAGUCGAGUUGUUUGGGAAUGCAGCUCAAAAUGGGUGGUAAAUUCCAUCUAAAGCUAAAUACAGGCGAGAGACCGAUAGCGAACAAGUACCGUGAGGGAAAGAUGAAAAGCACUUUGGAAAGAGAGUUAAACAGUAUGUGAAAUUGUUGAAAGGGAAACACUUGAAGUCAGUCACAUUCUGCAGGACUCAGCCUUGCCUAUUAGGCCUGGUGUAUUUCCUGUAGGAUGGGUCAACAUCAAUCUUGGUCAAUGGAUAAAGGAUGAGGGAAUGUGGCACCUUUGCAGGUGUGUUAUAGCCCUUUUUCAUAUACAUUGGCUGGGAUUGAGGACUGCAGCAUGCCCAUUUUGUGGCCAGGACAUUUCAUGUUACAUGCUUAGGAUGUUGACAAAAUGGCUUUAAGUGACCCGUCUUGAAACACGGACCAAGGAGUCUAACAUGCCUGCAAGUGUUUNGGGUGGAAAACCCUUGCGCAUAAUGAAAGUGAAAGGUUAGGAACCUUCAUAAGGAGGUGCACUAACGCCCGGCCCUGAUGUUUACUGACGGUGCUGAGGUAGAGCAUGUAUGUUGGGACCCGAAAGAUGGUGAACUAUGCCUGAAUAGGGUGAAGCCAGAGGAAACUCUGGUGGAGGCUCGUAGCGAUUCUGACGUGCAAAUCGAUCGUCAAAUUUGGGUAUAGGGGCGAAAGAC
This 883-nucleotide ribosomal RNA is filed under the name Coltricia sp. RNAcentral describes it as "LSU rRNA". It matches the Rfam family "Eukaryotic large subunit ribosomal RNA", at positions 71 to 931 of the family's 3401-position model. Lineage: Eukaryota; Fungi; Basidiomycota; Agaricomycetes; Hymenochaetales; Hymenochaetaceae. The record is from RNAcentral.